UACGGAGGGUGCGAGCGUUAUUCGGAAUCACUGGGCGUAAAGGGCGCGUAGGCGGCCUGGUAAGUCAGGGGUGAAAUCCCACGGCUCAACCGUGGAAUUGCCUUUGAAACUGCUGGGCUUGGAUCCUGGAGAGGGUGGCGGAAUUCCUGGUGUAGGAGUGAAAUCCGUAGAUAUCAGGAGGAACACCGGUGGCGAAGGCGGCCGCCUGGAAAGGUAUCGACGCUGAGGCGCGAAAGUGUGGGGAGCAAACAGG
This 253-nucleotide ribosomal RNA is filed under the name uncultured microorganism. RNAcentral's name for it is "partial 16S ribosomal RNA". It matches the Rfam family "Bacterial small subunit ribosomal RNA", at positions 524 to 776 of the family's 1533-position model. The record is from RNAcentral.